Molecule: long non-coding RNA, 652 nt
Organism: Ornithodoros turicata
Lineage: Eukaryota; Metazoa; Arthropoda; Arachnida; Ixodida; Argasidae
Exons: 2
Source: RefSeq, a predicted model, not a curated record
UUUGUGCAGAACUUUUGGAGCAGCUUAACCGAAGGUUCGAAGCCACAUUGAAGGACAGUUUUCUAAUAGCUGCUUGCAUCCUCAAUCCAAGAAUAAAGCUCAGAAUCUUCGAGUCACACAUCGCGAAGGGAUUAUCGAAGCCAAGUACUUCGGAGGCAGUCAAGGUUGUGGAACAUCUACUCGACGGAGUCGAUAGGGCUCCAUAUUCUUUCACGGCUACCAGCGUAACUUCAGCACCAACAACUUCUACGCCUGAUGCUAAAGUGGACAUAUCUAAAGUUGUCGGUCUGUCGGGCGUGCUGGAUGCGGUAUACCCACUCCAGGAGGCUCGGCAGUUGUCUGAACUGGAACGUUACCUCAGCGCGGAAUACGACGCUCAGGAUGUGCUCUCUUUCUGGAGGAAUAAUUUUCACCAGUACCCCAAACUGGGACGUCUUGCCCAAGUAUGCCUCGGGAAACAGGCCACUUCGGGAGCAGUGGAGCGCCUCUUCUCUGUGGCAGGCGCUCUUCAAAGAGCAAGGCGAGCGCCUCUCGUGCCAAGCACCAUAGAGAACUGAAUCCUUGUGUCUGAGCACGUCAGGAAACACAAAAAUUAACUUUCAAAAAACGGACAAGGAGCUUGAACUUUUUGGAUAAAACGUACUGUCCCACU